Molecule: ribosomal RNA, 397 nt
Filed under: uncultured bacterium
Lineage: Bacteria
Description: partial 16S ribosomal RNA
Rfam family: Bacterial small subunit ribosomal RNA
Source: RNAcentral
CUACGUAGGGGGCGAGCGUUGUCCGGAAUGAUUGGGCGUAAAGGGCGCGUAGGCGGCCCGGUAAGUCUGGAGUGAAAGUCCUGUUUUUAAGAUGGGAAUUGCUUUGGAUACUGUCGUGCUUGAGUGCAGGAGAGGUAAGUGGAAUUCCCAGCGUAGCGGUGAAAUGCGUAGAGAUUGGGAGGAACACCAGUGGCGAAGGCGACUUACUGGACUGUAACUGACGCUGAGGCGCGAAAGUGUGGGGAGCAAACAGGAUUAGAUACCCUGGUAGUCCACACUGUAAACGAUGAAUGCUAGGUGUAGGGGGUAUCGACCCCUUCUGUGCCGCAGUCAACACAAUAAGCAUUCCGCCUGGGGAGUACGGCCGCAAGGUUGAAACUCAAAUGAAUUGGCGGGG